GUGUCUGCUGAGAAGUGACCGUGUCCUGUUUUCUCCUGUUCUUGUGAACACGGGUCUGUCCCCAAAGAGCCAUGAAGCACUCUCUCCCUCCCCAUCUUCCACUCUUCUCACUCUGCUGCUUGUCCCUAACAGACMCAGGGUACGGGAAGAUGGCAUUGAUGACGGCAGGGGAUGUUCUUCACACUGAAGUGAUGCUAACGCAAGCUGUCCAGCACUGAGUCUCACUCGCCAGCCCUGGCACCCAGUGAAGCGGGGCUCUUCUGAAGUGGCUCUAAACUAAGAUCAGAGCUGCCACACCAGGMUGGUACCAGGAACACCGCCUGGGGCAUGAAUCCAGCUUUAGAUGGUUUAUAAGAACAAGCAGAACUCUUGCCUCCCCAUCCAGAGGAGAACGACCCAAGUGCACCCGUCGGCUAAGCUCCUGGAGGACACCGAAGACACAAAGCAGCCUCAGCACCCUUCCCGCUGGAGAGGGCAGGAGAUGUGCAGCAGGCUCCAAUUUCUGGAGAAAAUCCUGGCGGCCUCCAAAUAUGUGCCCUCGCCCUACCUCCGCAUGGAGAGGACGCAGCUUCUGUUCAGCUGGCUGUCAGCCAGCUCCACUGGUGCCAGCUAAAGCAGAUGACCGUGCCCAGAGCUGGCAUUGCUGGGCAGCCACCUUCAAGAUUAUGUCAAACGUGGAAUUCCUCAAAGUACAGUCAUCAACAUUCUUCAUGCAUUGUGGAAAUUAGAUCUUUUGGACAUUUUUUAAAAUAUCCCAAGCAAAGAUGAUAAUGAGCUACCACAGAAUCCAGGAGAUAGGAAAAGGUGAGAAAGAAAAUACUAAGAUAAGAGAACUCAUGUAUGACAAAUAAUAUUGCAAAACAAAACCUAAAUGAAUAUGAGACUGUGAUAAAAGGCUAGUUAAUAUUAUUGUUCAGGAGAAACUUAUAUUUUCUACUAGAAAAAAAUAGUAGUGGUUCAUUAACAUAAUAAGAGAAGAAACUUUAAAAAUAAAUGUGAGAUUGAAUGUGUUAUAAAAUAACUG
This 1024-nucleotide long non-coding RNA is filed under the name Urocitellus parryii (Arctic ground squirrel). RNAcentral describes it as "lncRNA (ENSUPAG00010015870.1)". Lineage: Eukaryota; Metazoa; Chordata; Mammalia; Rodentia; Sciuridae. The record is from RNAcentral.